This 128-nucleotide transfer RNA is filed under the name Penicillium antarcticum. It matches the Rfam family "tRNA". Rfam says of the family: Transfer RNA (tRNA) molecules are approximately 80 nucleotides in length. Their secondary structure includes four short double-helical elements and three loops (D, anti-codon, and T loops). Lineage: Eukaryota; Fungi; Ascomycota; Eurotiomycetes; Eurotiales; Aspergillaceae. The record is from Rfam by way of RNAcentral.
GGCUUAGUGGCGCAGUGGUUAACGCAUCGCACUGUUAGUAUCCUCCGACUCCACAAUUUCACAUAACAUCUUCUAACCAAUUCACUAGUGUAAUGCGGAGAUCCCGAGUUCGACUCUCGGCUGAGCCU